UCAGUUGUCCUUGAAAAUCAAGAGAAAAAUUGUGCUAUUGCGUUAAAUGUGAUUCACACAUCUGUACUCAAGCCUGCUGUCCUCCCCUCUCUGGAAGCUGAGUGGAGGCGCGGAUCAGUUGCUCCAAGUGUACUUCUCUCAGUUUUGGAGCCUCACAUGCAGCUUCCUUCUGAUGUCGACCUCCGCCAAUCUCCUAGUGUUGAGCUCCUAGCACCACAAUUAUUGAAUGUGUCACCUCUUCCUUCUGUCCUACGCCAGGCUGGAG
This 265-nucleotide unclassified non-coding RNA is filed under the name Hevea brasiliensis (rubber tree). Lineage: Eukaryota; Viridiplantae; Streptophyta; Magnoliopsida; Malpighiales; Euphorbiaceae. The record is from RNAcentral.